Transfer RNA from Camelus ferus (Wild Bactrian camel), 63 nucleotides. It matches the Rfam family "tRNA", at positions 5 to 66 of the family's 71-position model. From Rfam's summary of the family: Transfer RNA (tRNA) molecules are approximately 80 nucleotides in length. Their secondary structure includes four short double-helical elements and three loops (D, anti-codon, and T loops). Further hydrogen bonds mediate the characteristic L-shaped molecular structure. tRNAs have two regions of fundamental functional importance: the anti-codon, which is responsible for specific mRNA codon recognition, and the 3' end, to which the tRNAs corresponding amino acid is attached (by aminoacyl-tRNA synthetases). tRNAs cope with the degeneracy of the genetic code in two manners: having more than one tRNA (with a specific anti-codon) for a particular amino acid; and 'wobble' base-pairing, i.e. permitting non-standard base-pairing at the 3rd anti-codon position. NCBI's taxonomy places the organism in Eukaryota, Metazoa, Chordata, Mammalia, Artiodactyla, Camelidae. The record is from Rfam.
GUAUAGCUCAGUGGUAGAGUGCAUGCCUAGCAUGCUUAAGGUCCUGGGUUCAAUCCCCAGUAC